CAGUCGCCGCGGUAAUACGAAGGGGGCUAGCGUUGCUCGGAAUUACUGGGCGUAAAGGGCGCGUAGGCGGAUUGUUAAGUUGGAGGUGAAAGCCCAGGGCUCAACCUUGGAACUGCCUUCAAUACUGGCAAUCUUGAGUAUGAGAGAGGUGUGUGGAACUCCGAGUGUAGAGGUGAAAUUCGUAGAUAUUCGGAAGAACACCAGUGGCGAAGGCGACACACUGGCUCAUUACUGACGCUGAGGCGCGAAAGCGUGGGGAGCAAACAGGAUUAGAUACCCCUGUAGUCCCUGUCUCUUAUAC
Molecule: ribosomal RNA, 301 nt
Filed under: uncultured bacterium
Lineage: Bacteria
Description: partial 16S ribosomal RNA
Rfam family: Bacterial small subunit ribosomal RNA
Source: RNAcentral